GAUUAACGCUGGCGGCGUGCAUAACACAUGCAAGUCGAACGAUGAAACUUAAAUGAUUUCUUCGGAAUGAACUUAAGUGGAUUAGUGGCGGACGGGUGAGUAACGCUUGAGUAACCUGCCUUACACAAGGGGAUAGCCGUUGGAAACGACGAAUAAUACCCUAUGAAACUAUCACUUCGCAUGAAGCGAUAGUCAAAGUGUUAGCGGUGUAAGAUGGACUUGCGUCUGAUUAGCUAGUUGGUGAGAAAAAAGCCCACCAAGGCAACGAUCAGUAGCCGGCUUGAGAGAGUGUACGGCCCCAUUGGGACUGAGACACGGCCCAGACUCCUACGGGAGGCAGCAGUGGGGAAUUUUGCACAAUGGGGGAAACCCUGAUGCAGCGACGCCGCGUGAUUUAGAAGGACUUCGGGUUGUAAAAAUCUUUUGUAUAGGAAGAAAAUGACAGUACUAUACGAAUAAGGUCCGGCUAAUUACGUG
This 477-nucleotide ribosomal RNA is filed under the name uncultured bacterium. RNAcentral describes it as "partial 16S ribosomal RNA". It matches the Rfam family "Bacterial small subunit ribosomal RNA", at positions 28 to 507 of the family's 1533-position model. The record is from RNAcentral.